CCGGCGCACGGGUGAGUAACACGUAUGCAUCCUGGCCGUGACAGAUGGAUAACCGGGAGAAAUCCCGCCUAAUACAGCAUGACGCCGGGAAGGGACAUCCCUUUCCGGCCAAAGGGGGCGACUCCGGUCACGGAUGGGCAUGCGGCGCAUUAGGUAGUUGGUGGGGCAACGGCCCACCAAGCCGACGAUGCGUAGGGGUUCUGAGAGGAAGGUCCCCCACAUUGGAACUGAGACACGGUCCAAACUCCUACGGGAGGCAGCAG
Molecule: ribosomal RNA, 263 nt
Filed under: uncultured bacterium
Lineage: Bacteria
Description: partial 16S ribosomal RNA
Rfam family: Bacterial small subunit ribosomal RNA
Source: RNAcentral